GACGAACGCUGGCGGCGUGCUUAACACAUGCAAGUCGAACGGAAAGGCCCUGCUUGCAGGGUACUCGAGUGGCGAACGGGUGAGUAACACGUGGGUGAUCUGCCCUGCACUUCGGGAUAAGCUUGGGAAACUGGGUCUAAUACCGGAUAGGAGCCAUCUUUAGUGUGGUGGUUGGAAAGUUUUUUCGGUGUAGGAUGAGCUCGCGGCCUAUCAGCUUGUUGGUGGGGUAAUGGCCUACCAAGGCGGCGACGGGUAACCGGCCUGAGAGGGUGUACGGCCACAUUGGGACUGAGCUACGGCCCAGACUCCUACGGGAGGCAGCAGUGGGGAAUAUUGCACAAUGGGCGCAAGCCUGAUGCAGCGACGCCGCGUGGGGGAUGAAGGCCUUCGGGUUGUAAACUCCUUUCGCUAGGGACGAAGCUUUUUUGUGACGGUACCUAGAUAAGAAGCACCGGCUAACUACGUG
Molecule: ribosomal RNA, 466 nt
Filed under: uncultured bacterium
Lineage: Bacteria
Description: partial 16S ribosomal RNA
Rfam family: Bacterial small subunit ribosomal RNA
Source: RNAcentral